ACAAGAAUUAUGACUGGUAUCUGUAGGCAC
RNAcentral lists this unclassified non-coding RNA (30 nucleotides) under Dictyostelium discoideum. Lineage: Eukaryota; Evosea; Eumycetozoa; Dictyosteliales; Dictyosteliaceae. The record is from RNAcentral.